UCCUCGGUAGUAUAGUGGUGAGUAUCCGCGUCUGUCCCAUGCGAGACGCGGGUUCAAUUCCCGGCCGGGGAG
RNAcentral lists this transfer RNA (72 nucleotides) under Ancylostoma ceylanicum. It matches the Rfam family "tRNA". From Rfam's summary of the family: Transfer RNA (tRNA) molecules are approximately 80 nucleotides in length. Their secondary structure includes four short double-helical elements and three loops (D, anti-codon, and T loops). Lineage: Eukaryota; Metazoa; Nematoda; Chromadorea; Rhabditida; Ancylostomatidae. The record is from Rfam by way of RNAcentral.